UCCUUUGAGGAGGCAUGACACAGUCACUUGUCCUUUUAAAGAUUGUGAGUUGACAACCAAUGUCCUUUCAACUUUUAGUAGCCACAUAUCUCGGAAGCAUAAAUCUGAAGGUUUUAACUUUUUCUGUGUCUUUCAUGCUUCUGGUGUGCUGCUCAAAAUAAACCUACAGCUCUCAAAAGUCUACCUUUGUUUAUGAGGGGAAAAGUCUGGAAACUUUCUGAAGUCUUGCCUGGACACAGACCCAGAAGACACUCACACAAAAGGGAUGAAGAAGGGGGUCUUAACUGUCGUUGAAGAUGACGUUGCCACCAUCCAUUCAAACCCAAAUGUAAGGUGCCUGUCUGUAGUUUUAGAGGAGCAAGUUGUGCUGGAUAAUGUGCAAGACGUCCCUACAGCUGUUGCUCUCCUAUUUGACUUGAUUUAUGCCAUCAAAAUCAUUAGCUAUCCUGAAGAACUAAAAUACACUUUUGAAACUAUUCAGAAAGUGUUUAUUGGCCUUGACCACCAGUGCUCUGCAAGAGUCCAGUGAUUCAAAACAAAUUGG
Long non-coding RNA from Silurus meridionalis, 544 nucleotides. RefSeq lists it as uncharacterized. The record is from RefSeq and is a predicted model, not a curated record. NCBI's taxonomy places the organism in Eukaryota, Metazoa, Chordata, Actinopteri, Siluriformes, Siluridae. The transcript has 2 exons.